UCCAGACUCCUACGGGAGGCAGCAGUGGGGAAUAUUGCACAAUGGGGGGAACCCUGAUGCAGCGACGCCGCGUGAGUGAAGAAGUAUUUCGGUAUGUAAAGCCCUGUCAGCAGGGAAGAAAAUGACGGUACCUGAAGAAGAAGCCCCGGCUAACUACGUGCCAGCAGCCGCGGUAAUACGUAGGGGGCAAGCGUUAUCCGGAUUUACUGGGUGUAAAGGGGGCGCAGACGGCGAUGCAAGCCAGGAGUGAAAGCCCGGGGCCCAACCCCGGGACUGCUCUUGGAACUGCGUGGCUGGAGUGCAGGAGGGGCAGGCGGAAUUCCUGGUGUAGCGGUGAAAUGCGUAGAUAUCAGGAGGAACACCGGUGGCGAAGGCGGCCUGCUGGACUGCAACUGACGUUGAGGCCCGAAAGCGUGGGGAGCAAACAGGAUUAGAUACCCCCGUAU
Molecule: ribosomal RNA, 446 nt
Filed under: uncultured bacterium
Lineage: Bacteria
Description: bacterial SSU rRNA
Rfam family: Bacterial small subunit ribosomal RNA
Source: RNAcentral